UCCCGUGUGGCUCAGUUGGUAGAGCAUGGUGUUUGCAACGCCAGAGUUGUGGGUUCGAUUCCCACGGGGGGAA
RNAcentral lists this transfer RNA (73 nucleotides) under Salmo salar (Atlantic salmon). It matches the Rfam family "tRNA". From Rfam's summary of the family: Transfer RNA (tRNA) molecules are approximately 80 nucleotides in length. Their secondary structure includes four short double-helical elements and three loops (D, anti-codon, and T loops). Lineage: Eukaryota; Metazoa; Chordata; Actinopteri; Salmoniformes; Salmonidae. The record is from Rfam by way of RNAcentral.